This 1457-nucleotide ribosomal RNA is filed under the name uncultured marine eukaryote. RNAcentral's name for it is "bacterial SSU rRNA". It matches the Rfam family "Bacterial small subunit ribosomal RNA". The record is from RNAcentral.
GAGUUUGAUCAUGGCUCAGGAUGAACGCUGGCGGUAUGCUUAACACAUGCAAGUCGAACGAAAGCUUUAUGCUUUAGUGGCGAACGGGUGCGUAAUACGUGAGAAUCUGCCCUUAGGAGGAGAAUAACUUCUGGAAACGGUUGCUAAGUCUCCAUAUGCCGAGAGGUAAAAUAGUUUACACUGCCUAGGGAUGAGCUCACGCCUGAUUAACUUGUUGGUAAGGUAAUGGCUUACCAAGGCCACGAUCAGUAGCUGGUUUGAGAGAACGAUCAGCCACACUGGGACUGAGACACGGCCCAGACUCCUACGGGAGGCAGCAGUGAGGAAUUUUCCGCAAUGGGCGCAAGCCUGACGGAGCAAUACCGCGUGAGGGAUGACGGCCUUUGGGUUGUAAACCUCUUUUUUCAAGGAGGAAGUUCUGACGUGUACUUGAAGAAUAAGCAUCGGCUAACUCCGUGCCAGCAGCCGCGGUAAGACGGAGGAUGCAAGUGUCAUCCGGAAUUAUUGGGCGUAAAGCGUCUGUAGGUUGCCUAACAAGUCUGUUGUUAAAGGUUAAAGCUUAACUUUAAAACUGCAGCAGAAACUGCUAGGCUUGAGUACAGUCGAAGUAGAGGGAAUUUCCAGUGAAGCGGUGAAAUGCGUAGAUAUUGGAAGGAACACCAAUGGCGAAAGCACUCUACUAGACUUUUACUGACACUCAGAGACGAAAGCUAGGGUAGCAAAUGGGAUUAGAUACCCCAGUAGUCCUAGCCGUAAACGAUGGAUACUAAACAUUGCGUGCAUCGAUCCGCGUGGUAUUAUAGCUAACGCGUUAAGUAUCCCGCCUGGGGAGUAUGCUCGCAAGGGUGAAACUCAAAGAAAUUGACGGGGGCCUGCACUAGCGGUGGAGUAUGUGGCUUAAUUCGAUGCAACGCGAAGAACCUUACCUGGCCUUGACAUGUAGUGGACUGGGUGCGAAAUCACCCUUUUCUUCGGAACUGCUACACAGGUGCUGCAUGGCUGUCGUCAGCUCGUGUCGUGAGAUGUUGGGUUAAGUCCCGCAACGAGCGCAACCCCCGUGUCCUGUUGCCACCCGGAAGAGAAUCCGGAGCACUCUGGACAGACUGCCUGGUUUCAACCAGGAGGAAGGUGGGGAUGACGUCAAGUCAGUAUGGCCCUUACGGCCAGGGCUGCACACGUACUACAAUGCCUAGUACAAUGGGACGCAAGACCGCGAGGUGGAGCAAAUCCCCAAAACUAGGCUCAGUUCAGAUUGUAGGCUGCAACUCGCCUACAUGAAGGAGGAAUCGCUAGUAAUGCCGUAUCAGCUACGACGGCGUGAAUACGUUCCCAGGCCUUGUACACACCGCCCGUCACAUCAUGAAAGUUGAUUGUACCCGAAGUCGCUGAGUUAACCGUAAGGAGACAAGUGCCGAAGGUAUGGUUGGUAAUUGGGAUGAAGUCGUAACAAGGUAACC